Molecule: long non-coding RNA, 222 nt
Filed under: Capsicum annuum
Lineage: Eukaryota; Viridiplantae; Streptophyta; Magnoliopsida; Solanales; Solanaceae
Description: long non-coding RNA (CANN_LNC012506)
Source: RNAcentral
AAACAAUAGUAAUAGAAUACAGGAGAUUCAAUAGGCAUUGGUCAAUCAGCUGCUACCUUUAAAACUCAUUGUACAUAAUCCCUAGCAAAGAAGUCCAUCUCAAUGUCUAGGGCCAAAUAACUAAGCACAUGUACAAAAAAUGCAAAAAUAAACAUGUGUAUGUACUAAACCACAUGUACUCAGCAACAUCAUACUGAUCUUAAUUCAAAGUGAUGGCGAGAA